This 1106-nucleotide long non-coding RNA is filed under the name Pogona vitticeps (central bearded dragon). Its description in RNAcentral is "lncRNA (ENSPVIG00000004040.1)". Lineage: Eukaryota; Metazoa; Chordata; Lepidosauria; Squamata; Agamidae. The record is from RNAcentral.
NNNNNNNNNNNNNNNNNNNNNNNNNNNNNNNNNNNNNNNNNNNNAUACAGAACAGCCAAAUGAGUCCCUCUAGAGAUACAGUAGCCCUGUUGCCAUGGGAACGCAGCCAGAAGCAGCAGCUACCUCUUCAGAAAUGGAUACAUCUAGUGGCCUGAGUACAGAAUAUGAGGAUCUGCCAAUAGCUGAAAUAAGACAUUGUUUGUACAUUCAGAUAAAUUCUCAGCUACUGGAAUCAGUUGGGGACAGAAUAAAAAUUUUAGGACAGAAUUACACUGCUUUACGAGACACUUGCUCACAAGUGUCGAUCUGCCACUCUGAUAUUGUACCUCGGGGAUGUAUAAUUCCUGAUCAGAACGUGAUUCUCAAAGGAAUAGGGAAGGAGAUAGUGAGCUUGCCUGUGGCAGAUGUUUUAGUUGAUUAUCAAGGAUGGCGGGGAGUUUGGCGAAUGGGGGUUUCUUCUCAAAUUCCUACACCUUGUCUUAUUGGCACUGACUUAACAAAGCAUGUCAAGAGUGCCUUGGUGAUUACGCAAUCACAACCUGAACAAAGGGAAGCUAGUAAUGGUACUGGCUCUCAAGAACAAGAAGAGAACAUACCCCAGGCUGAGGCGUUUUCGUUGGAAAUACCUCAGAAAAGUGUAUUUGCCAGGGAUCAGAUAGCAGACCCCACUUUAAAAAGCUGUUUUGAAAAAGUGGAUGACAACGAAUUAACGCUUGAAUGUCCUGAACGUUUCAUUAUAAAGUGUGGGUUGCUCUAUAAGGAAAAACUGAUUAAUAUGGCAAAGGGAGGGCCUGAGAUCAAAAAGCAGUUGGUUGUUCCUGAUAAAUAUUGCCCUAUGCUGCUAGAAAAGGGACAUGCAGACAUUUUCUCAGCUCAUUUGGGAAUAAAUAAGACCAAACAGAGAAUAGCCCAAAACUUUUAUUGGCCUGAUAUGGGAAAACAUAUUAGGAAUUUCUGCCAGAGAUGCAUUGUAUGUCAAAAACAGGGAUAUAACCGCGACAAGACAAAAGCAAAGCUGUGUCCUUUACCAGUAAUUUCAACACCUUUUAAACGUCUAGGAGUGGAUAUCAUAGGUCCAUUGCCCACAGUCACUAAGCGAGGGAACA